CCUACGGGGGGCUGCAGUGAGGAAUAUUGGUCAAUGGACGAGAGUCUGAACCAGCCAAGUAGCGUGAAGGAUGACUGCCCUAUGGGUUGUAAACUUCUUUUAUAUGGGAAUAAAAUGUUCCACGUGUGCGUUUUUGUAUGUACCUUAUGAAUAAGGAUCGGCUAACUCCGUGCCAGCAGCCGCGGUAAUACGGAGGAUCCGAGCGUUAUCCGGAUUUAUUGGGUUUAAAGGGAGCGUAGGUGGAUUGUUAAGUCAGUUGUGAAAGUUUGCGGCUCAACCGUAAAAUUGCAGUUGAAACUGGCAGUCUUGAGUACAGUAGAGGUGGGCGGAAUUCGUGGUGUAGCGGUGAAAUGCUUAGAUAUCACGAAGAACUCCGAUUGCGAAGGCAGCUCACUGGACUGCAACGGACACUGAGGCUCGAAAGUGUGGGUAUCAAACAGGAUUAGAUACCCUUGUAGUC
This 460-nucleotide ribosomal RNA is filed under the name uncultured bacterium. Its description in RNAcentral is "partial 16S ribosomal RNA". It matches the Rfam family "Bacterial small subunit ribosomal RNA", at positions 338 to 795 of the family's 1533-position model. The record is from RNAcentral.